AAUAGAUACCCUGGUAGUCCACGCCGUAAACGAUGUCAACUAGCCGUUGGAAUCCUUGAGAUUUUAGUGGCGCAGCUAACGCAUUAAGUUGACCGCCUGGGGAGUACGGCCGCAAGGUUAAAACUCAAAUGAAUUGACGGGGGCCCGCACAAGCGGUGGAGCAUGUGGUUUAAUUCGAAGCAACGCGAAGAACCUUACCAGGCCUUGACAUGCAGAGAACUUUCCAGAGAUGGAUUGGUGCCUUCGGGAACUCUGACACAGGUGCUGCAUGGCUGCCGUCAGCUCGUGUCGUGAGAUGUUGGGUUAAGUCCCGUAACGAGCGCAACCCUUGUCCUUAGUUACCAGCACGUUAUGGUGGGCACUCUAAGGAGACUGCCGGUGACAAACCGGAGGAAGGUGGGGAUGGCGUCAAGUCAUCAUGGCCCUUAGGCCUGGGCUACACACGUGCUACAAUGGUCGGUACAGAGGGUUGCCAAGCCGCGAGGUGGAGCUAAUCUCACAAAAACCGAUCGUAGUCCGGAUCGCAGU
This 528-nucleotide ribosomal RNA is filed under the name uncultured bacterium. RNAcentral's name for it is "bacterial SSU rRNA". It matches the Rfam family "Bacterial small subunit ribosomal RNA", at positions 777 to 1304 of the family's 1533-position model. The record is from RNAcentral.